This 423-nucleotide ribosomal RNA is filed under the name uncultured bacterium. RNAcentral describes it as "bacterial SSU rRNA". It matches the Rfam family "Bacterial small subunit ribosomal RNA", at positions 359 to 773 of the family's 1533-position model. The record is from RNAcentral.
GAAUUGUUCGCAAUGGGCGCAAGCCUGACGACGCAACGCCGCGUGGAGGAUGAAGAUCUUCGGGUCGUAAACUCCUUUCGAUCGAGACGAACGGCUUCCGGGUAAACAAUCCGGGAGAUUGACGGUACCGAGAGAAGAAGCCCCGGCUAACUCCGUGCCAGCAGCCGCGGUAAUACGGAGGGUGCAAGCGUUAUCCGGAUUCACUGGGUUUAAAGGGUGCGUAGGAGGGCAGGUAAGUCAGUGGUGAAAUCUCCGAGCUUAACUCGGAAACUGCCGUUGAUACUAUCUGUCUUGAAUACCGUGGAGGUGAGCGGAAUAUGUCAUGUAGCGGUGAAAUGCUUAGAUAUGACAUAGAACACCAAUUGCGAAGGCAGCUCGCUACACGAAUAUUGACUCUGAGGCACGAAAGCGUGGGGAUCAAAC